RNAcentral lists this ribosomal RNA (901 nucleotides) under Hansfordia pulvinata. RNAcentral describes it as "LSU rRNA". It matches the Rfam family "Eukaryotic large subunit ribosomal RNA", at positions 38 to 965 of the family's 3401-position model. Lineage: Eukaryota; Fungi; Ascomycota; Sordariomycetes; Xylariales. The record is from RNAcentral.
GCAUAUCAAUAAGCGGAGGAAAAGAAACCAACAGGGAUUGCCCUAGUAACGGCGAAGUGAAGCGGCAACAGCUCAAAUUUGAAAUCUGGCCUUCUGGUCCGAAUUGUAAUUUGCAGAGGAUGCAUUUGACGCGGUACCUUUCGAGUUCCUUGGAACAGGACGCCUUAGAGGGUGAGAGCCCCGUACGAUUGGCCACCAAGUCUCUGUAAUGCUCCUUCGACGAGUCGAGUAGUUUGGGAAUGCUGCUCUAAAUGGGAGGUAAAUUUCUUCUAAAGCUAAAUACCGGCCAGAGACCGAUAGCGCACAAGUAGAGUGAUCGAAAGAUGAAAAGCACUUUGAAAAGAGGGUUAAAUAGCACGUGAAAUUGUUGAAAGGGAAGCGCUUAUGACCAGACUUUUUCCGGGGGGAUCAUCCGGCGUUCUCGCUGGUGCACUUCCCCCGGUUUAGGCCAACAUCGGUUUCUGCGGGAGGAUAAAGGCUUCGGGAAUGUGACUCCUCCGGGAGUGUUAUAGCCCGUUGCAUAAUACCCUCGCGGAGACCGAGGUACGCGCAUUGCAAGGAUGUUGGCAUAAUGGUCAUCAGUGACCCGUCUUGAAACACGGACCAAGGAGUCGAACAUUUGUGCGAGUGUUUGGGUGUCAAACCCUCACGCGUAAUGAAAGUGAACGGAGGUGAGAGCCUUAGGGUGCAUCAUCGACCGAUCCUGAUGUCUUCGGAUGGAUUUGAGUAAGAGCAUAACUGUUCGGACCCGAAAGAUGGUGAACUAUGCGUGGAUAGGGUGAAGCCAGAGGAAACUCUGGUGGAGGCUCGCAGCGGUUCUGACGUGCAAAUCGAUCGUCAAAUCUGCGCAUGGGGGGCGAAAGACUAAUCGAACCCAUCUAGUAGCUGGUUACCCGCCGAA